UGGCUCAGUUGGUAGAGUAUGGUGUUUGCAACGCCAGCAUGGAGUGUGCAACACCAGGGUUGUGGGUUCGAUUCCCAC
Molecule: transfer RNA, 78 nt
Filed under: Salmo salar (Atlantic salmon)
Lineage: Eukaryota; Metazoa; Chordata; Actinopteri; Salmoniformes; Salmonidae
Rfam family: tRNA
About the family: Transfer RNA (tRNA) molecules are approximately 80 nucleotides in length. Their secondary structure includes four short double-helical elements and three loops (D, anti-codon, and T loops).
Source: Rfam by way of RNAcentral